Molecule: ribosomal RNA, 429 nt
Filed under: bacterium
Lineage: Bacteria
Description: partial 16S ribosomal RNA
Rfam family: Bacterial small subunit ribosomal RNA
Source: RNAcentral
UGGGGAAUUUUGGACAAUGGGGGCAACCCUGAUCCAGCAAUGCCGCGUGUGUGAAGAAGGCCUUCGGGUUGUAAAGCACUUUUGUCCGGAAAGAAAACUUCGGGGCUAAUACCCCUGGAGGAUGACGGUACCGGAAGAAUAAGCACCGGCUAACUACGUGCCAGCAGCCGCGGUAAUACGUAGGGUGCGAGCGUUAAUCGGAAUUACUGGGCGUAAAGCGUGCGCAGGCGGUGCUGUAAGACCGAUGUGAAAUCCCCGGGCUUAACCUGGGAACUGCAUUGGUGACUGCAGCGGUGGAGUAUGGCGGAGGGGGGUGGAAUUCAACGUGUAGCAGUGAAAUGCGUAGAGAUGUGGAGGAACACCGAUGGCGAAGGCAGCCCCCUGGGCCAAUACUGACGCUCAUGCACGAAAGCGUGGGGAGCAAACAGG